Molecule: ribosomal RNA, 580 nt
Filed under: Stenotrophomonas maltophilia
Lineage: Bacteria; Pseudomonadati; Pseudomonadota; Gammaproteobacteria; Lysobacterales; Lysobacteraceae
Description: bacterial SSU rRNA
Rfam family: Bacterial small subunit ribosomal RNA
Source: RNAcentral
AGCUUGCUCUCUGGGUGGCUAGUGGCGGACGGGUGAGGAAUACAUCGGAAUCUACUCUGUCGUGGGGGAUAACGUAGGGAAACUUACGCUAAUACCGCAUACGACCUACGGGUGAAAGCAGGGGACCUUCGGGCCUUGCGCGAUUGAAUGAGCCGAUGUCGGAUUAGCUAGUUGGCGGGGUAAAGGCCCACCAAGGCGACGAUCCGUAGCUGGUCUGAGAGGAUGAUCAGCCACACUGGAACUGAGACACGGUCCAGACUCCUACGGGAGGCAGCAGUGGGGAAUAUUGGACAAUGGGCGCAAGCCUGAUCCAGCCAUACCGCGUGGGUGAAGAAGGCCUUCGGGUUGUAAAGCCCUUUUGUUGGGAAAGAAAUCCAGCUGGCUAAUACCCGGUUGGGAUGACGGUACCCAAAGAAUAAGCACCGGCUAACUUCGUGCCAGCAGCCGCGGUAAUACGAAGGGUGCAAGCGUUACUCGGAAUUACUGGGCGUAAAGCGUGCGUAGGUGGUCGUUUAAGUCCGUUGUGAAAGCCCUGGGCUCAACCUGGGAACUGCAGUGGAUACUGGGCGACUAGAAUGUG